RNAcentral lists this ribosomal RNA (468 nucleotides) under uncultured bacterium. Its description in RNAcentral is "partial 16S ribosomal RNA". It matches the Rfam family "Bacterial small subunit ribosomal RNA", at positions 28 to 507 of the family's 1533-position model. The record is from RNAcentral.
GACGAACGCUGGCGGCGUGCUUAACACAUGCAAGUCGAACGGAAAGGCCCUGCUUUUGUGGGGUGCUCGAGUGGCGAACGGGUGAGUAACACGUGAGUAACCUGCCCUUGACUUUGGGAUAACUUCAGGAAACUGGGGCUAAUACCGGAUAGGAGCUCCUGCUGCAUGGUGGGGGUUGGAAAGUUUCGGCGGUUGGGGAUGGACUCGCGGCUUAUCAGCUUGUUGGUGGGGUAGUGGCUUACCAAGGCUUUGACGGGUAGCCGGCCUGAGAGGGUGACCGGCCACAUUGGGACUGAGGUACGGCCCAGACUCCUACGGGAGGCAGCGGUGGGGAGUAUUGCACAAUGGGCGGAAGCCUGAUGCAGCAACGCCGCGUGCGGGAUGACGGCCUUCGGGUUGUAAACCGCUUUCGCCUGUGACGAAGCGUGAGUGACGGUAAUGGGUAAAGAAGCACCGGCUAACUACGUG